CGAACGCUGGCGGCGUGCCUAAUACAUGCACGUCGAGCGGACGAAUCGAAAGCUUGCUUUUGAUUCGUUAGCGGCGGACGGGUGAGUAACACGUGGGCAACCUGCCCUGUAGACGGGGAUAACACCGAGAAAUCGGUGCUAAUACCGGAUAACACGAAAUGUCGCAUAACGUUUCGUUGAAAGACGGCGCAAGCUGUCGCUACAGGAUGGGCCCGCGGCGCAUUAGCUAGUUGGUGAGGUAACGGCUCACCAAGGCGACGAUGCGUAGCCGACCUGAGAGGGUGAUCGGCCACACUGGGACUGAGACACGGCCCAGACUCCUACGGGAGGCAGCAGUAGGGAAUCUUCCGCAAUGGACGAAAGUCUGACGGAGCAACGCCGCGUGAGCGAAGAAGGCCUUCGGGUCGUAAAGCUCUGUUGUUAGGGAAGAACAAGUAACGCAGUAACUGGCGUUACCGUGACGGUACCUAACGAGAAAGCCACGGCUAACUACGUG
Molecule: ribosomal RNA, 496 nt
Filed under: uncultured bacterium
Lineage: Bacteria
Description: partial 16S ribosomal RNA
Rfam family: Bacterial small subunit ribosomal RNA
Source: RNAcentral